Molecule: non-coding RNA, 84 nt
Organism: Arabidopsis thaliana (thale cress)
Lineage: Eukaryota; Viridiplantae; Streptophyta; Magnoliopsida; Brassicales; Brassicaceae
Source: Rfam
GUGGACAUGCCGGAGUGGUGUUAUCGGGCAUAACUAGAAAUCAUGUGGGCUUUGCCCGCGCAGGUUCGAAUCAUGCCGUUUACG